Molecule: ribosomal RNA, 792 nt
Filed under: uncultured bacterium
Lineage: Bacteria
Description: bacterial SSU rRNA
Rfam family: Bacterial small subunit ribosomal RNA
Source: RNAcentral
AGAGUUUGAUCCUGGCUCAGAUUGAACGCUGGCGGCAUGCCUUACACAUGCAAGUCGAACGGCAGCACGGAGCUUGCUCUGGUGGCGAGUGGCGAACGGGUGAGUAAUAUAUCGGAACGUACCCUAGAGUGGGGGAUAACGUAGCGAAAGUUACGCUAAUACCGCAUACGAUCUAAGGAUGAAAGUGGGGGAUCGCAAGACCUCAUGCUCGUGGAGCGGCCGAUAUCUGAUUAGCUAGUUGGUAGGGUAAAAGCCCACCAAGGCAUCGAUCAGUAGCUGGUCUGAGAGGACGACCAGCCACACUGGAACUGAGACACGGUCCAGACUCCUACGGGAGGCAGCAGUGGGGAAUUUUGGACAAUGGGCGAAAGCCUGAUCCAGCAAUGCCGCGUGAGUGAAGAAGGCCUUCGGGUUGUAAAGCUCUUUUGUCAGGGAAGAAACGGUGAGAGCUAAUAUCUCUUGCUAAUGACGGUACCUGAAGAAUAAGCACCGGCUAACUACGUGCCGGCAGCCGCGGUAAUACGUAGGGUGCAAGCGUUAAUCGGAAUUACUGGGCGUAAAGCGUGCGCAGGCGGUUUUGUAAGUCUGAUGUGAAAUCCCCGGGCUCAACCUGGGAAUUGCAUUGGAGACUGCAAGGCUAGAAUCUGGCAGAGGGGGGUAGAAUUCCACGUGUAGCAGUGAAAUGCGUAGAUAUGUGGAGGAACACCGAUGGCGAAGCAGCCCCCUGGGUCAAGAUUGACGCUCAUGCACGAAAGCGUGGGGAGCAAACAGGAUUAGAUACCCUGCUAGUCC